GGCAGAAAUUGGGCAUAAGACAAUAUGAGAGGUGGUCUCCUCCCUUACUUUGACCAACAUCUCCCCAACCCAUACCCCUAAGCCCCUGGUAACUACCAUUCUGUCUCUCCUUCUAUGAAUCCAACUUUUUAAAUUAUACAUACAAGGGAGAUCAUCUGGUAUUUGUUUUCCCAUACCUGGCUUAUUUCACUUAACAUAUUGUCCUCCACAUCCAUCCAUGAUGUUGCAAAUGACAAUGUUUCCUUUUAAAACAUACACCACUUUUGAAUGUGUUUUAUUCAGUCUACAAAGUCACCUAUGAGACAUUCAGUGGGGUCACAGAAGGAAAGUGCUUUGCAAGCCAGGCGAGGUGCCUCAUAUUUUUAAUCCCAGCACUUUGGGAAGCCGAGGUGGGUGGAUCACCUGAGGUUGGGAGUUCAAGAGCAGCCUGGCCAACAUGGUGAAACUCCAUCUCUACUAAAAAUACAAAUAUUAGCUGGGCAUGGUGGUGCACACCUGUAAUCCCAGCUACUUGGGAGGCUGAGUAGCUGGGAUUACAGGCGCACGCCCCCACGCCUGACUAAUUUUUUUUUUUUUUGUAUUUUUAGUAGAGACAGGGUU
Molecule: long non-coding RNA, 600 nt
Organism: Homo sapiens (human)
Lineage: Eukaryota; Metazoa; Chordata; Mammalia; Primates; Hominidae
Source: Ensembl